Molecule: long non-coding RNA, 1947 nt
Organism: Oxyura jamaicensis (ruddy duck)
Lineage: Eukaryota; Metazoa; Chordata; Aves; Anseriformes; Anatidae
Exons: 4
Source: RefSeq, a predicted model, not a curated record
CAGAGGUUGAUUUUUGGGCCGUUUUUCCCCAGUGCAGCAUCAGGCCCCUGGAGCUGCCAGCUCAGUUUGGCCAGCCUGGGAGGCUUCUUUAUUUUGUGCACAGGGAUGGAGCACGAGUGUCCUGGGCAUGUGUGUCUUGCUGUUUCCUUCUGUUGGACUCUCUAAUCAAGGCUACUGAUAACGCUGGAAGCCUGCACAGAAGUGACUGCUUGAUGUACUCAUCGGUGGAGGACACAAAACUUCCUUUGAACUCGAGAGCAGAGGAGAGCAUCCAGUUAACUUUCAAGCGCCAUGCUGAGAGAUUAAUUUUGCAUCUCUCCGUGUCAUCUGUGCAGGAGGAGCAGCAGCAGCAGCCUUGCCACAGAUAUUGCAAUUAUCUGUGACCGAAUGCCUGGAAACACACGGUGUUGUGUCUGCUGCCGUUACACGAGGGCUGUCAGCACGGAGCCUGCGAGUGCUGGCAGGCAGCAGGGAAGCCAGAGCAGUGCAGGACUCAAUCCAGAGGUUAUCGAAGUCAUCAGGAAGCAUCACGUUGGCUCCUGCAGCCUUCGGCGAAGACACAACUCCUUUCACUGUAACCACAUCUCAGCCCGUGCAACAGGCAUUACUUAAUAACCCUGAGCAGCGAAACAGAAGAAAUUUUCUUUGAAAGUAUGUGCCAAUCUCCCAGAUAGCAUUUCCAGCAAAAAGGCCCCUUAGCAGCUACUACCGCUGCAGACAGAAAAGGAAAACGAGGCCUUCCUCACCUCUCCAGAGCCACGGUGCAACUAGUGCCAGGAAAUGGCUCUGAAAUCGAGGCGCUGGCUUUCGCCACUGCUUGUUCCACCUAUGAAGAAUGUCUGCGCUUCGGUGAGCUUUGAACCGGUGUUGUAAGCAUGUUCCAGACAGGGUUAGCUGUGUCUUAGAGGUUAUUGCAAGGCCCUUGCAAUGCAGGCAUGGCGGAGAACUUGUUUUAAAAGGUGGCUGCAAACACCGUUUGUAAAUAAAAACUCACUUAGAAGGCUUUAGUGUUUUAAUGCAGCCUCCCUAACAAGGUCCUGUAUGGGCUGGGACUGUAUGCAGAGAUAUUGCCUCUUCUAAAGAAGACACAGGUUACUUCCUUUUAACAACUAUCCCUCUUUGUGUGUGUAAAAUCCAGAGUUUUACUGGGGUCUGCAGAGGCAGAGGGCAAGAAGAGAAAGUGGGAAUAAAGGCAAAUGGAGAGAGACAUUCGCUACCACCCAAACAGGUGGCUUUUUUCCCUUUUUUAAAGAUUCAGUGCACCAAAGUCAGGAAAAUCAAACUUAUGGUUCCCCCAGCAGCCAUAACUCUGCCCCUGGCAGAGAAGGAGCGAGGCAUAAAUAUAAGCUCGUAGCCAGCAGUACAUGCUACAUAUGUGCAGGGAGCUAAGUUAUGGGUGCUGCGGGAGCCAUGAUUUUGAAUGUCCUGACUUGUGAGUUUAAAUUCUGCAGUUCAAUAUUCUGGGUAGUUUCUUUCUCUCCUUUUUGCACUUCUUGGUUAUAAAUUAUAUUACAGCUCUCGGUCUCCUUUAUGCUGGCACAGCAAUUUGGAUUAUGUGAUUGGCUGAAGACUCUCUUCUUCACAAGAAAGUGAUUGCAGUUAUUAUUCGUAGAUUUUUCAAGGCUGGAUCCAGCUUUCUUUGUGUCACAGACCCUUAAGCUGAUCUGUGUCGCUCACCACUAGCAUUAAAGGUGAGACAGGGAAGCGCAUGCCAUUAGCAGUCUGCAUGGGAUGCUCUGAUGGCCUUCAACAUGCUCUGCCUGGAUGCACCUCCAGUGGGGCAGGGCUGGGUUUUGUUGUCCCACCAAUUUGCUCUGCCAUCUUCGUGACAACAAGCUUGCGUGUCUCUUUUGAACUCCUACUUUGUAUUCCCAGAUUAGGCUUUCAGACACUGGGAAGAUAUUCAUUAAGAGGGUGAAAUCCAGAGCAGAGGCUGCACAGCACCUU